This 436-nucleotide ribosomal RNA is filed under the name uncultured bacterium. RNAcentral's name for it is "partial 16S ribosomal RNA". It matches the Rfam family "Bacterial small subunit ribosomal RNA", at positions 368 to 795 of the family's 1533-position model. The record is from RNAcentral.
ACAAUGGGGGAAACCCUGAUCCAGCAAUGCCGCGUGCGUGAAGAAGGCCUGCGGGUUGUAAAGCACUUUCGGUUGGGAGGACUGCUUCUAGCACUAAUAUUGUUGGAAGUUGACGUUACCUUCAGAAGAAACCCCGGCUAACUCCGUGCCAGCAGCCGCGGUAAUACGGAGGGGGUUAGCGUUGUUCGGAAUUACUGGGCGUAAAGCGCGCGUAGGCGGGCUAUUAAGUCAGGGGUGAAAUCCCGGGGCGCAACCCCGGAACUGCCUUCAAAACGCCUGGUCUUGAGGUCGGGAGAGGUGAGUGGAAUUCCGAGUGUAGAGGUGAAAUUCGUAGAUAUUCGGAGGAACACCAGUGGCGAAGGCGGCUCACUGGCUCGAUACUGACGCUGAGGUGCGAAAGCGUGGGGAGCAAACAGGAUUAGAUACCCCAGUAGUC